CAAGUCUUGACAUCCCUCUGAAUCCUCUAGAGAUAGAGGCGGCCUUCGGGACAGAGGUGACAGGUGGUGCAUGGUUGUCGUCAGCUCGUGUCGUGAGAUGUUGGGUUAAGUCCCGCAACGAGCGCAACCCUUGAUUUUAGUUGCCAGCAGGUAAGGGUGGGCACUCUAGAAUGACUGCCGGUGACAAACCGGAGGAAGGCGGGGAUGACGUCAAAUCAUCAUGCCCCUUAUGACUUGGGCUACACACGUACUACAAUGGCUGGUACAACGGGAAGCGAAGCCGCGAGGUGGAGCCAAUCCUAUAAAAGCCAGUCUCAGUUCGGAUUGCAGGCUGCAACUCGCCUGCAUGAAGUCGGAAUUGCUAGUAAUCGCGGAUCAGCAUGCCGCGGUGAAUACGUUCCC
This 402-nucleotide ribosomal RNA is filed under the name uncultured bacterium. RNAcentral's name for it is "bacterial SSU rRNA". It matches the Rfam family "Bacterial small subunit ribosomal RNA", at positions 975 to 1375 of the family's 1533-position model. The record is from RNAcentral.